Molecule: ribosomal RNA, 496 nt
Filed under: Bifidobacterium breve
Lineage: Bacteria; Bacillati; Actinomycetota; Actinomycetes; Bifidobacteriales; Bifidobacteriaceae
Description: bacterial SSU rRNA
Rfam family: Bacterial small subunit ribosomal RNA
Source: RNAcentral
UGCAUGGUCGUCGUCAGCUCGUGUCGUGAGAUGUUGGGUUAAGUCCCGCAACGAGCGCAACCCUCGCCCCGUGUUGCCAGCGGAUUGUGCCGGGAACUCACGGGGGACCGCCGGGGUUAACUCGGAGGAAGGUGGGGAUGACGUCAGAUCAUCAUGCCCCUUACGUCCAGGGCUUCACGCAUGCUACAAUGGCCGGUACAACGGGAUGCGACAGCGCGAGCUGGAGCGGAUCCCUGAAAACCGGUCUCAGUUCGGAUCGCAGUCUGCAACUCGACUGCGUGAAGGCGGAGUCGCUAGUAAUCGCGAAUCAGCAACGUCGCGGUGAAUGCGUUCCCGGGCCUUGUACACACCGCCCGUCAAGUCAUGAAAGUGGGCAGCACCCGAAGCCGGUGGCCUAACCCCUUGCGGGAGGGAGCCGUCUAAGGUGAGGCUCGUGAUUGGGACUAAGUCGUAACAAGGUAGCCGUACCGGAAGGUGCGGCUGGAUCACCUCCUUU